RNAcentral lists this long non-coding RNA (3942 nucleotides) under Homo sapiens (human). RNAcentral describes it as "HSALNT0237514". The record is from RNAcentral. Lineage: Eukaryota; Metazoa; Chordata; Mammalia; Primates; Hominidae.
GGGUGAGGGGCUGCUGGCGUGGAGGCAGCUGCCUGCUCAGCCCAGCCCAGCUGCAUUUUCUCCUCUUUCACCCUGGUGAGAACCAGCCUUCCUUCGGUUCUGCCUGAGGACCCUGUAGGUGCUGAAAAUGGAAUACAGCUGGCAGGUAGUGGGCGGACAGUGAAAACGUGCCCUGAUAUUAUUCUGAGAAAAAAAAAGAGCUUUAUUGCUUCUUGUCAGACUAUACUAUGUUUUAGGAAGAGUUGGGUUCCCCCAAAGAGAAGGUGCAGGGUGCUGGGAGCAGGAUCCUCAGUUUGUAAGAACGCACUCACUGCUCCAAGGCAGCCAACAAAAAAUUUUUAAAAAGGGUGAUUGAAGGUUCAACUUUUGACAUGUAAAAUCCAGUCAUAGCUUGGGUUUCCCGGAAGCAGUCCCUGAGACAGAGAUUUUAGUGCAACAGUUUAUUUGGGAGGCGAUCCUGGGAAACACCAGAAGGGAAGUGGAAAAUUGAAAUGUCGAAGGAAGCCAAUAAAAUAUGCGUUAUUGAGCAGAUGGCCCCUGUGACCAACUAGGCUCAGUAUCUCUGGGGAACCCCCAGAGACAGUGUAGAGUAAAUUCCAGAAUUAUGCCAUCCAAGGGAAAAGGGAGCUGAAUCAUUCAUCUCUCAGCUGUUGCAAGCUAUUGGUGGAGGGAUUUUCCCAAGAGGCAUUACCUCCCAGGCUUGUCCUCACUUUGCCUGUGUGGCCUCCAGUGGUCAGACAGAACCCAAAGGAAAAGAGCCAGGGUGCGGAUUGGCAGAAGCUAUUCUGGCCCAUGUGCAGAGCAUCAAGAAUGUGUGCUGCAAAAGAGUCUCUCUCUGUCACCCAGGCUGGAGUGCAGUGGCGCCAUCUCGGCUCACUGCAAGCUCCGCCUCCCGGGUUCAUGCCAUUCUCCUGCCUCAGCCUCCCGAGUAGCUGGGACUACAGGCGUCCGCCACCACGCCCAGGGAGAAGAGAAAAAAGUGCAUGAAGUAAAGAAAAAGCAGGGAAUGAGAGAAAAAAAUGGAGGAGUGAGUGCCACAGCCCAGUCAGUAAGUGCUACAUGGAGUCUCACUCUGUCGCCAGGCUGGAGUGCAGUCAGCUCACUGCAACCUCCACCUCCCGGGUUCAAGAGAUUCUCCUGCCUCAGACUCCUGAGUAGCUGGGACUACAGAUAUUUAGAAAUUAUUACAGGAACUUUUUCUGGACAGACAAGAACCUAAGUCUGAACAUCUAAAAGGCUCACAAAGAAUCAAGCAAAUUUAUUGAAAGAGACCAAUACUUAUUAGACCUAUCUUCGUGAACUGAAGAUCGAGAAAAAAAUUCCAAGAGGCAUUUGGACAGAAAAGCAUGUUGACUCCACAGGAACAAAAAUCAAACUGCAUUCAAAAUUCUCCUCUGCAAUGUCUAAUAGCAGGAGAAAUAAAAUAGUACCAACAGAGCUUCAAGGGAAAAAGACUGCAUUCUAAGAAUCCUAUAUUUAGGAAGUUGUUCAAGUGAAAGGGUAAUGGAAGAAAUGUUCUUAGAUGUGCAACUCACUGUUAUAACCUUUUAAACAAAGCCCUCGAAGACCUGAUUUAACUGACAGUGAAUGAAUCUAAAUACAGAGCUGUGGGAUGUGAGAGUCACAUCAGUGACCACUGAAACAAGUAUAAAGAAAAUUAAGUCUAGAUGAUUGUUUUACAUAUAAUUAUAAAACAGAAUAAAAGUGUAAAACGCAACUCUUGGAAGAGGAUAUUUAUAGUAUAAAAAUGGCCUAAUUAUAAUAAUUUGAACCUAAUGUUUUGCCGCACAAAAAUAGAAAUGAAGGAGAUAGAAUGGUAGGAGAAAACACUUAUUUCCUCAUUAUUCCCAAGAGGGAUAUUAUUUAACUCUUGAUAAAGAUAACUGGAAAUACAAACAGGAUGUAUCCUUUCUAAAUUACUAAAAAAAAAAAAAAACAAAAAAAACAAAGAAAAUAAAUUCCAUGUAACAAUCAUACUUUAUGUAACACACUGAAGUUUUUGGUCUUUAAUCUUCUUAUCUCCAGAGAUUGCUGUGACUCCUCGUCCACUCUGUAUCAUAGCAUCACCUCCAGUAUCAUUAAUGCAAGGCACCCCAUUUCUGACCACAGCUUCCUUCUUUUCCUUCUUGGCUUUAUUUUUAUUUCUUUAUUUAUUUUUGAGACGGAGCCUCGCUCUGUUGGCCCAGGUUAGAGUGCAGUGCCAUGAUCUCAGCUCACUGAAACCUCCACCUCUCAGGUUCAAGCAAUUCUCCAGCCUCAGCCUCCUGAAUAGCUAGGAUUACAGGCACCUGCCACCAUGCCUGGCUAAUUUUAGUAUUUUUAGUAGAGACAGGGUUUUGCCACGUUGGCCAGGUUGGUCUUGAACUCCUGACCUCAGAUGACCUGCCUGCCUUAGCCUCCCAAAGUGCUGGGAUUACAGACAUGAGCCACUGAGCCUGGCCACGUUCUUGGCUUUUUAAUUGCAACCAUUGAAAUAGAUCUUGAUUUCACUGUGACCUCUAGCUUCUUUAUCUUCAAUUUGCCCCAUCCUUCAGCCGUCCCCUUUCUUUAGUUUUCUACCUGUCCAGGUUAGAUUUCAGGGUCCAUUGUUUCAGCGAUAGUACUGCCAAAAUCCUAAACUCCCUCGCCCCUUUGGGCUUUUGUCAGACCCCAUCUGGCCGAAGACCAUUCCCAGAGCAACCCACACUGUGUGCUGUCUCUCUUCUUGUAUUUAAGCAGCUGGAGAAAAACACAACAGAGCAGAUUGUACCAUCAUAUAUUCAUGAGCAUCCAUUCUGAAUGGGCACCACAGUGCCAGAAUCCUUCAGAUAUCUCUGGUCAAUCUAUAGUCCAGCAAUCCACAAUGACCAUUCCAGAUCUUCUCUAGCUUCCUUAAAUGCCCAACUUUCCUACCCAUCAACGGAUGCCUUUAUUUCAUAUUUCACAGAGAUAAUAGACACUGUCACAUAAGGCCACUCCCCCCACUCCACACCCCCAAAUCCUGCUACCAAACUCACUAACAUAACAGCAUCUGUACCCAUCUGGUCCUCCUUCCUGCCUAUUCCAUAGAGGAGCUGUUUUUCUUUCUGAAAGAGAUCAAUUCCUCACAUGUGCUUUAGACCCCAUCUCCUUUCUCCUUCGCAGGAAUCUUAUAAUUUAGGUGGUUCUGUAUCUCCUGAAUAUCCAAUCUCUUUUCAACCUCAUCAAUUGCUUCAAAUUGUAAACAUUAAGCAAAUUAUAUUCAGCUUUCAAAAAAAAAGGGAGGAAAUCCUGUCAUUUGGGACAACAUGGAUGAAACUAGAGGACGUUAUGGAAAAUGAAAUAAAGCAGACAUGGAAAGAAAAAUACUACAUGAUCUGACUUACAUGUGGAGUGUGAAAAAGAACUCAGAAGCAGGAAGUAGAAUGGUGGUUACCAGGGGUCUUAAGGGGUUGGAGGGUUGGGAAGAUGUUGGUCAAAGGACACAACAUUUCAGGAGGAAUAAGUUCAAGAGAGCUAUUGUUUCACACGGGAACUAUGGUUAAUAACAAUGUAUUGCAUUCUUGGAAAUUGCCAAGAGAGUAGAUUUUAAGCGUUCUCACAACAAAAAUGAUUAGUAUGUGAGGUAAUGCAUAUGUUACUCAGCUUAAUGUAGCCAUUCCACAGUAUGUACAAGUUUCAAAGCAACAUGUUGUAUAUAAUAAAUACAUAUAACUUUGGCAAUCAAAUCAAAUAAAUAAAAGAAAAUAAAAAUAAAUGGAGAGAUAUUAUAAAAAUUCUACUGCAUUAAUAGUCACUAAUUCCAGUGCUUUGUAUUCCUUUGUGGAAAGGUUUUCCAAUCGUGUGGCACUAUUGACUUUUUUUUUUUUUUUGGUGACGGAGUCUCGCUCUGUCACUCAGGCUGGAGUGCCGUAGCAUGAUCUCAGCUCAUUGCCAUCUCUGCCUCCCCGGGUUCAAGCCAUUCUCCUGUGUCAGCCUCCUGAG